Molecule: ribosomal RNA, 253 nt
Filed under: uncultured bacterium
Lineage: Bacteria
Description: partial 16S ribosomal RNA
Rfam family: Bacterial small subunit ribosomal RNA
Source: RNAcentral
UACGUAGGGUGCGAGCGUUAAUCGGAAUUACUGGGCGUAAAGCGUGCGCAGGCGGUUCGUUAAGUUCGUUGUGAAAGCCCCGGGCUCAACCUGGGAACUGCAAUGGAAACUGGCGGGCUUGAAUGCGGCAGAGGGGGGUGGAAUUCCGCGUGUAGCAGUGAAAUGCGUAGAGAUGCGGAGGAACACCGAUGGCGAAGGCAGCCCCCUGGGCCUGCACUGACGCUCAUGCACGAAAGCGUGGGGAGCAAACAGG